UACGUAGGAGGCGAGCGUUGUCCGGAGUUACUGGGCGUAAAGCGCACGCAGGCGGUCUGCUAAGUCUCAAGCGACAGUCGUCGGCUUAACUGACGAAGUGUUUGGGAAACUGACAGACUUGAGGGCUUCAGAGGGACAUGGAAUUCCGGGUGUAGUGGUGAAAUGCGUAGAUAUCCGGAGGAACACCAAAGGCGAAGGCAAUGUCCUGGGAAGUCUCUGACGCUCAGGUGCGAAAGCUAGGGGAGCGAACGGG
Molecule: ribosomal RNA, 253 nt
Filed under: uncultured bacterium
Lineage: Bacteria
Description: partial 16S ribosomal RNA
Rfam family: Bacterial small subunit ribosomal RNA
Source: RNAcentral